UACGUAGGGGGCUAGCGUUGUCCGGAAUCAUUGGGCGUAAAGCGCGUGUAGGCGGUCCGGUAAGUCUGCUGUGAAAGUCGGGGGCUCAACCCUCGAAUGCCGGUGGAUACUGUCGGGCUAGAGUGCGGAAGAGGCGAGUGGAAUUCCUGGUGUAGCGGUGAAAUGCGCAGAUGUCAGGAGGAACACCUAUUGCGAAGGCAGCUCGCUGGGACGUAACUGACGCUGAGACGCGAAAGCGUGGGGAGCAAACAGG
Molecule: ribosomal RNA, 253 nt
Filed under: uncultured bacterium
Lineage: Bacteria
Description: partial 16S ribosomal RNA
Rfam family: Bacterial small subunit ribosomal RNA
Source: RNAcentral